GGGCCGGUAGCUUAGUUGGUAGAGCGUCGCUUUUGCAUAGCGAAGGUCGGGAGUUCGAAUCUCCUCCGGUCCA
RNAcentral lists this transfer RNA (73 nucleotides) under Candidatus Levyibacteriota bacterium. RNAcentral describes it as "tRNA-Ala". It matches the Rfam family "tRNA". From Rfam's summary of the family: Transfer RNA (tRNA) molecules are approximately 80 nucleotides in length. Their secondary structure includes four short double-helical elements and three loops (D, anti-codon, and T loops). The record is from RNAcentral. Lineage: Bacteria; Candidatus Levyibacteriota.